RNAcentral lists this long non-coding RNA (2857 nucleotides) under Nicotiana benthamiana. RNAcentral's name for it is "long non-coding RNA (NBEN_LNC038668)". The record is from RNAcentral. Lineage: Eukaryota; Viridiplantae; Streptophyta; Magnoliopsida; Solanales; Solanaceae.
CUAAUCUCUCUUUUUAUAUAAAGGUGUAUGAACCCUUUGAAACUCUAUAGACUCUCCCCCUUCACUUUCAUCGUCAUCUCUCUAAACCAAAUCCUAGCCGCCCUAAUAUCCCAUGCCGGCUCCGCCUCGCUCCGCCGCCCGAAAAUCUUCAAACUCUACCAAAUUAACCCCAUGUGGUCAAUUAUCCCUCCCCUUUCCAAAUCCCCAAACCAUUUCCCUUGAAUCUUCAUUCAACUGCUUGAAUCUUAGAUAUGAAAAUCCAAACCUAAAAACCCCAAGUUGUCCAAACAAUCCUAAACUCACACCAUAGGACUCUCAACCUUCACUCACCACUAUCCUACCCUUGAUUCCCCAAAAAUCCCCGCCAAAGUCCUUGAAUCUUAGAUCUAUAAAGAACAAAAAAAUAUAGUUCCAUUUGUCCGUCCUUUUCGAGUUUUCUUUGGAUUACUUCCAGAUUCGAUGUAGUUGAAACACCAUACUAGCCAAUUGUUCUCAACUAGAACGAUUAGUUAGCAUUUGUUUUAGCCACAUUGAAGGACUUUUGAACUGCCAGACUCCUCUUGGUAUUUUCUUUAACCUUUUUCCUAAUUUCUUUAUUAUGUUCCUUAAUUUCUGCAUGUGAAUAAUCAUGAGUAAUUUAGUUCAUUUCUGUACAAGUUAUUUAGUUUACAUCAUAUCUAAUUAUUAGAAAAUUAUUUUUAGUUGCAUAUUUUAGUUAAUUCGAUCAUAUUGUAGGUUAAUUAGGUUAAUUAUUAGGUUUUGUUGCACUACCAUGCUUGCUUCCUUGCUUGUUAUUGUGUUUUGCCAUCUGUGUUUGUUUAAAUUCAAUUCUUGUUUAGGGUUAAUUAGAUAAGCAUUUUUAUUUAUUGAUUUAUUUAGUUUUUAGGUUUGAAUUACAUCAUCGUGAUUUUGUUUGUCAUUUUGAUUUAGAUUUUAUGAUCCCCUUUGGUUUUACCUCUAUUAGCCUUAAUUUGUAACUCAACAAAACUUGUAGGGAAUUAAUUAAACUAAUAGGAAAACUUAAGAGGAUUUUAGAUCUUUAAAAAAAACAAAUAUCUAACAAAACAUAGUUUUAGAAAUGUACUACUAUCCAAAAUUAGUUUUAAAAGAUGCUGAAAAAUGGAUAACUGGAAAUUAUUCUCUGUCACAACAUCUGUACUAUUCAAAGAAUUAGGGUAGAAUAUUUUUUGAUGCCAUUUUUUAUAUAAACUCUAUAAAAGAAAAGAAAACUUGCACUCACAUACAUAUAUGAUCAACACAUUUUGACUUAAAAUUUAAGAAUACAAAGGAAAACCAUUAAAACUUUUCUGGCCUUAAAAAACUUCAAUUUUUCUAGCUAGAUUUCUAGGUUAGUUCUUCGAGUACUCUCAUUUUCUGGAAGCUUGAGUGUUGAUUCUUGUUUUUUCUGGGCUGCUUCCUUACUGCUGCUAUUUGGUUCUGUUUUCUGCUCAUUUUUCAAAGUUUUAAUCAGUAUUUCUUCUGUUUUUUAUGUUUUUGUUGUUCUUUCAAGGUACUGAUUCUAUCCUUCUUCAUGUACUACUUGUUUAAGCAAUACAAGAACCAAAAGCAACAAUAUGUGAAAAAAUGAGUAUCUUUUCAUUCUAGUUGUAGUUUAUAUUGACAUGGAUGUGAUUAGUCUUUAUUAUAUAAGUUUAAACUUGAAGUAAUCUGGAAUGAGUAGCUUGGUUAAUACAUUGAUGCUUUUUAGUUUUCCUCUUAAAAUUUAACCUUGUUUGAAGAUGUGUCCUUAGCAAAAUGUUCUGCGUGUUAAUACUAAUUCUGAACAUUACUUAUUAAAGUCAUUUCUCCCCUUUUAUUCUGCUGAUAAAUAAUAUGGUGUCUACCUGAAGUUAUUUGGGGUUUGUUUGCUAAUCAUGAACUAUAACCUGUGGAUUCGGCCACUAAUUGGCCAAAUCAGCAGGUUCAAAAGCUACGAGUUGAAAUUCUAUUGUUGAUAGCAUGCUGAAUCUGGUAUUUUCAUAGGUUGGACCAAAUUUUGAUGGAUAAAUCAUGUCCAAAAGAGGCAGGUGUCAUUAGGUUAUUAAUUAUAUGAAAGUUGUAAUAGAAUAGCUGACAUUUUCUCUUUGAAAUAUAAAUUCUGGUAUAGUAUAUCAUUUGUAAUUCUCAUAUUAUUGUUAGGAUGGUCUGUAAUAACUAGUAGCAAGGUGUUGACAAUUUUAACUGUAGUUGCUCAAUUUCAAAGUUGAAGUUUUAAUUUCCUCUCAUAUGCAUGAUGUGUCACGAUUCAAAGAAGUAUUUUUUCACUUAAAGAAGCUCAAGAUAGUACACCAUUAUUUCAAAUGAUUUGUUAGUACGAAUAUUAUGUUUUAUAAUCUAGUUAUUCAUUAUGUUGACAAUCAGAGCUUGUGUGAUAUCUGUACAUUUGUGUACUGAAGGAAGUGUGGAGAUCAAAUCAUGUAUCAGUACAUUUGGGGCCUUCACCUAAAUGUUGGGUCUGGAAUUAGCCCAAACGAGAUGGCCUGAUCAAGAAUAAGGACUUUGGUUUGUAUCUAGUCCUUCGCUUCAUGCCUAAGCUUAGUUUGUGAGCCCUGGCCAGCGUAGUAGCUGCCUUUCAAAAGACACGGACUGAAUAACACACUGGGGCUGCUCCUUGGCCCAUUCCCUUUAGUAGUUAAAAUUAUACAUGUCUCUUCUAAUGCUAUGCUGUAGCUCUUCGCUUUAGAAAUAAUUUGGAAUAAACAUUAGGGAGUAAAUAUGAACAUCUGUUAGUGUGCCUUUUUUUAAGUAAAAAUCACUUGAAAUAAAUUGAGGCGUAACCCACGGCCCUCGUGUUAAUACCAAAACUAGUUCGAAAAAUACUUGUAACAUUCAUAACUAGUAUAAAAAAUACUUUGAG